GGCAAACGCAUCUCUGCUGUCCUCUGACCUCUCCUCUCCUCCUCCUCUCCGGACACGGCAAAGCUUCCUUCCCAAAAUCCCCAAAUCGAAGCGAAGCCGAGGAAACUCUCUCCCGCACGACCCAACAGCCCCCGUCCCCGCCGAGACCCGCCGCCCGUCUCACCCGCCCGCCCGCCCGACCGACCGCCAGGUUUCGGUUCGCCCGCUAGCCGAGGCAUCGGGGCGGAUUGGAUCGGCGAUGGACUGGAGCGCGGUGACGGCGGAGGACCUGGUGGCCGCGCUGCGGGAGGUGGACUGGUCCACGCCGCCGCGCCCCGUCCCGGAGUUCUUCUCCCGCUUCACCGUCCCCCGCUCCUACUCCAAGUGGACCAGCCGCCUCAAGUGCAACCUCUACUACUACAGGACAAACUAUUUCAUCUUGAUCAUGUUCAUUCUUGGGUUGGGUUUCCUUUGGAAGCCAGUUGCUAUUCUUGCAGCUUUUAUGACUGGAUUCAGCAUUGCUUUUCUUAAUGACAGUUUUGCUGUCACUUUUAAUGAGAAAGUCACAAGAACUGUCAGGCAGUUCUCACCACAUUUAGCUGCAAAGAUGAGACCACCGAUAACCCCUGUUAUUCGUGGUCGACCAAGCUCAAAGAGAUCAAUUCAUAUUUGUGGGCGGCCUCGCUGGUUGUUUGUCCUUUUAUUUUCGGCAGUUAGCUGCAUGCUCUGGUUGACCUCAUGCAGCCUCCUCACAGUUCUAUGGGCUCUUCUCAUUGCUCUGCUUAGUAAGGACGGUGUAGAGUUGUUUAUUUAUUUUUUGGAGAUCUGUAUUUAUCUUGGAAUGUCCUUAUUAGUUUGUCUUUCUGUUGGCAGCAACGGUACUUCAUGCCAGCUUCAGAACACCUAAUUUGAAAGCACGUCUGAAUACGUUCAGAGAGGAAUUCCGAGCAGUUUGGCGGAAUUAUAGUGAGCUCUAGAGCUCCCUCGGUUUCAAGGUGAUAAGAUGUGCUUAGUGCUGAAGCUUCCCUGCUGUCUGUGCAUUGUGUCUGUGGGAGAUGAACAAAGGUGAUAUGCAGUUGUGAUUACUGGCUCAUUUGGAGGUGGACCUAGACUGACUCUCUGGGUGAUGCUACGCCUCGGUCCGCGGUCCUCCUAAUCACAGUAGUUUUUUCCUUUGGACUUCUCCCUAUAACCAACGCUUUGGAGGAAGAACAGCAUGUAAAGGAUGUAAACAAAGUAUUCAGAUCUAGACAAAAAGCAUAUGUUGUUUGUUGAUACGCCUGCUUCAUGCUCUGUCUAUACUUCAAAAAACCGUUGUGGAUAUAUUUUCCGCUAAGCUUCGAUUUA
This is an RNA transcript of Triticum aestivum (bread wheat), 1326 nucleotides long. It is a transcript of the gene named PRA1 family protein A1, with no coding region annotated. NCBI's taxonomy places the organism in Eukaryota, Viridiplantae, Streptophyta, Magnoliopsida, Poales, Poaceae. The record is from RefSeq and is a predicted model, not a curated record. The transcript is spliced from 7 exons.